This is a small nucleolar RNA of Piliocolobus tephrosceles (Ugandan red Colobus), 213 nucleotides long. Its record names the gene U3. It matches the Rfam family "Small nucleolar RNA U3". From Rfam's summary of the family: Small nucleolar RNAs (snoRNAs) are involved in the processing and modification of rRNA in the nucleolus. There are two main classes of snoRNAs: the box C/D class, and the box H/ACA class. Lineage: Eukaryota; Metazoa; Chordata; Mammalia; Primates; Cercopithecidae. The record is from Ensembl.
AAGACUAUGCUCUUGGGGGUCAUUUGUAUGGGUUGUUAUCAGGGAAGUUUCUCUAAACGUGGGGAGUACCGGAAACCAUGAGAAAAAGACAUAGUGUUUUGUUUUCUGAGCAGGAAGCCGGCAUUUGGUGUUAUGUAAGCGCCAUCUGCCAUUGAUGGUCGUUCUUCUCUCCGUUUUGGAGACGUAAGAGGGAAAGAACACGGUUUGAGCAGU